This 396-nucleotide ribosomal RNA is filed under the name uncultured bacterium. RNAcentral describes it as "bacterial SSU rRNA". It matches the Rfam family "Bacterial small subunit ribosomal RNA", at positions 30 to 426 of the family's 1533-position model. The record is from RNAcentral.
AUUGAACGCUGGCGGCAGGCCUAACACAUGCAAGUCGAGCGGUAGAGAGAAGCUUGCUUCUCUUGAGAGCGGCGGACGGGUGAGUAAUGCCUAGGAAUCUGCCUGGUAGUGGGGGAUAACGUUCGGAAACGAACGCUAAUACCGCAUACGUCCUACGGGAGGAAGCAGGGGACCUUCGGGCCUUGCGCUAUCAGAUGAGCCUAGGUCGGAUUAGCUAGUUGGUGAGGUAAUGGCUCACCAAGGCGACGAUCCGUAACUGGUCUGAGAGGAUGAUCAGUCACACUGGAACUGAGACACGGUCCAGACUCCUACGGGAGGCAGCAGUGGGGGAAUUUUGGACAAUGGGCGCAAGCCUGAUCCAGCAAUGCCGCGUGCAGGAUGAAGGCCUUCGGUUGU